UUAUUUGUUUAUAUGAGAAAUAUCUUUUAUUAUUAGUAUAUUAUAGAAAAAUAUUUUUUAUGUUAUAGUUGAUUAGUACUGUGAAGGAAUUAGAUGAAAUAGUAUAUUUAUUUUUUUUAAAAAGUAUAUUUUAUUUAUAGUACCUUUUGUAUCAGGGUUAAUCUAAUAUAAUAAUUUAUAUUUUCAUCUCGAUUUUAAAAGAGCUAAUUUAUUAUUAUAUUUAUUGUGAUAUAACUAUUAUUAAUAUAGAUUAGAGAAGAUAUUUUAUACGAUUUUAAAGGUAUCUAGUUUUUUGAGAAAAAAAUUUAAUUUACUUAUACUAUUUAAAUUGUUUAUUUUUAAACAUUUUAUUUAUUAUAUGCAAAAUUAUAGGGGAUAAGCUCUAUAUUUUACUAUAAAAAAGAUUUUAAUAAAUUAAAGUAGGUUUAAGAUUAUCCAUCUUUAUAGAGUGUGUUAUAAUUUAUAUUUAUUAUUAAUUAAUUUAUUUUAUUUUAGGAAUAUAUUAAAAUGUCAAAAUUAAUAUUAUAUUUUGAGUAACAAUGAUUAAAUUAGUAUAAUUUAUUGUUUAAACUUUUUUUUAUUUUAUAAUAAAAUAAGGAACUCGGCAAAAUUAAUUCUCGCCUGUUUAACAAAAACAUGUCCUUUUGAGUUUAAUUUAAGGUCUAGCCUGCCCAGUGAUAUCAUUUUAACGGCCGCGGUAUAUUGACCGUGCAAAGGUAGCAUAAUCAUUAGUCUUUUAAUAGGAGGCUGGAAUGAAAGGUUUGACGAGGAAUUGACUGUCUCAUUUUAUUUGUAUUAAAAUUUAAUUUUUUGGUCAAAAAGCUAAAAUUUUAUUGGAAGACGAGAAGACCCUAUAGAUCUUUAUAUAGUUGAAUUUAAUCAGCUUUAUAUUAUUAUGAUUAUUGUUAGCUGUAUUUUAUUGGGGUGAUAAAAAUAUAUAAUUAACUUUUUUAUUUAUUUUACAUUGAUUUAUGAAUAUUAGAUCUUUUAUUAUUGAUUGUUAGAUUAAGUUACCUUAGGGAUAACAGCGUAAUCCUCUUCCAGAGUUCAUAUUUACAAGAGGGCUUGCGACCUCGAUGUUGGAUUAAGAUAAUAGUUAGGUGUAGCUGCUUAAUUGAUAGGUCUGUUCGACCUUUAACCUCCUUACA
Molecule: ribosomal RNA, 1148 nt
Filed under: Perithemis tenera
Lineage: Eukaryota; Metazoa; Arthropoda; Insecta; Odonata; Libellulidae
Description: partial 16S ribosomal RNA
Source: RNAcentral